CUGCCGUCCUCGAGGCUCGGCGGGGCGCUGCGCACACACGGCUCGGCUGUCCUUCGCCUCCUGGAGCAGCCCCGGCGCGGCAUGAGGCGGGGAGCGGGAUGUGUAGGGUGUCUCCUGCACGGACCUUGGGGAGCGACGGGACCCCCAGUGCGGCCGGGCCGGGCAUGAGGGGAGAAGCGGCGUGAGCCGGGGCAGGGAGGUCGGGUGUUGGGGAGCACCGUGGGGCACAGGGGUGAAGCCGCGGUGAGCGGUUGGAGAAAUGGCAGCAUCUUCUCCGGAGAAGGGACACGGGACAGACCCUGCGGCCCGCUCACAGCCAGCAGCAGGAACACUAGCAUGUGUAGUCCAGAACCGUGUCUGCUGUACAGCGGUACUCAGGGUUCGGUCCUGAGGUCGUCUUCUGUCAAAGCAUGACAGAAGCUCUUCUCCCUCUUGUUGGACUUCGCCACCCCAGGGGAUGGUGUGUGGUAAAGAAAGGAGCUCGCACAUCUUUCCGGGGCUGGUGUUGGCAGAGCUCACCUGGUGCGGGCGGGCGGCCGUACCGUGUUACAGCACUGCGUUUUCAUAACAGCUGGGUGCUUGUUUGGUUUGGUGGAGGAGGGUGGAACCCCGGAGUACCAAAAGAUGCUUCAUAUAUCCAGUAGUUACUCUGCACGAUCAUUUGUAAGUGUACAAGGAAGAUCUCGGUAUAGUCGUAAGUAGAUCUAGUUAGGAAUUAGACGCAGGAAGGAAGUAAUUUGUGUUGUUCAGUAUACAAGUGUUUUAGAAACAAAUCUGUUUAUUAUAGAGAAAAUCGGAACCUCUAUAGAAAAAAAAAAAAUGCUAGAAGUGGUGGGAUUUGGAGAAACUUAGCAUCUCUGGGGAUCUGGAAGCCUAGAUCCAGCCUAGAAAGUCAGAUAAACUAAACUUUCCAAAGUGUAGUUUAUCGGACAAACUUCAUGCCUUGAAGUCCGUUCUACGAUGUACGUAAUAUUUACCUCAUUUUUAGAGACACGAGCAAGGAUAGUCUUUGAACACUGCCCAGUAAAUAAGUUCUUGUUUGUUACUUCAUCAUCAGGACUACAAAACACUCUGCAACACCUGACUUGCAGAAGAAAACCAGUAAACUUGCAUGGCAUUUUAUCUUCCUUCCUCACUCUCAAAUUAAGUUAAUGCGUUGCUCUGUGUCAACAACAGGAAUUUUGGAUUUGAAUACUCGCCUCUAGUGCAAAUGACCUGUUCUUCUGUGCGUACAUACAUAUGUCCAUGUGUGUAUAUGCUCAGGUGGUACAUACUGAUAGCGGAGCCACUCUCUCUGAGUAGCAGGCAGGACCCUUUGCAUGGAGAAGGGAAUGGGAUUUGCUUCUGUCUGGCUUGCCAAGGUCAAUCACAAAGUCUGAAGCAAAGCCAGGAAAAGUAUCCAGAUCUCCCAGCUCUCUGCUUUUGCCACAGGGCUGCUGCUUCAUCUCUUUCUUUUCUGUUGCCAGUAGACUAUGUUCUUUACAGUGUGUUUGUAAAAAAUUGUAAUUGACUUACGCUCUCACCCUGCAGUUGAUAAGCACUACAGCCAGCAUGAGAAGGUUGAACUGCAGAUGUUGGAGCCGGUAGCAAUGCACAGCAUGUGAGCAGCACACCGAGCACAGAAAUGCUGUUUGCACCUAUGGGUUUGCCUGUCCCAAGCCUUGGCAGAGCUGAGAUCUGUGAAAAGUCCUGUGCACAGGCAUGAAGAGAAAUUCUACGAUAAUCCCAUACAGUGGAAGAUUUCCCGGACUGUUUCAUCAUCAGUGUUGUCUUUAAAAAUAAUUACUUUUGUAAGAAG
Long non-coding RNA from Strigops habroptila (Kakapo), 1798 nucleotides. Lineage: Eukaryota; Metazoa; Chordata; Aves; Psittaciformes; Psittacidae. The record is from Ensembl.